Molecule: long non-coding RNA, 125 nt
Organism: Lonchura striata (white-rumped munia)
Lineage: Eukaryota; Metazoa; Chordata; Aves; Passeriformes; Estrildidae
Source: RefSeq, a predicted model, not a curated record
UGAAUGUUUGGACAGUUCUCUCAGGCCAUGAGGCAUCAAGCUGAGAUUACUUUAAGAAACAAAUGAGCAUGCAUUUUUCACAGAGAAAGUAAAAUAUAUGCAGAGCUUCUCUCCACAUCUACAGU